Molecule: ribosomal RNA, 468 nt
Filed under: uncultured bacterium
Lineage: Bacteria
Description: partial 16S ribosomal RNA
Rfam family: Bacterial small subunit ribosomal RNA
Source: RNAcentral
GACGAACGCUGGCGGCGUGCUUAACACAUGCCAGUCGAACGGAAAGGCCCUGCUUUUGUGGGGUGCUCGAGUGGCGAACGGGUGAGUAACACGUGAGUAACCUGCCCUUGACUUUGGGAUAACUUCAGGAAACUGGGGCUAAUACCGGAUAGGAGCUCCUGCUGCAUGGUGGGGGUUGGAAAGUUUCGGCGGUUGGGGAUGGACUCACGGCUUAUCAGCUUGUUGGUGGGGUAGUGGCUUACCAAGGCUUUGACGGGUAGCCGGCCUGAGAGGGUGACCGGCCACAUUGGGACUGAGAUACGGCCCAGACUCCUACGGGAGGCAGCAGUGGGGGAUAUUGCACAAUGGGCGGAAGCCUGAUGCAGCAACGCCGCGUGCGGGAUGACGGCCUUCGGGUUGUAAACCGCUUUCGCCUGUGACGAAGCGUGAGUGACGGUAAUGGGUAAAGAAGCACCGGCUAACUACGUG